GACGUAGGGCGCGAGCGUUGUCCGGAUUUAUUGGGCGUAAAGAGCGUGUAGGCGGCCAGGUAGGUCUGGUGUGAAAACUCGAGGCUUAACCUCGAGAUGUCAUCGGAAACCAUCUGGCUAGAGUCCGGAAGAGGAGAGUGGAAUUCCUGGUGUAGCGGUGAAAUGCGCAGAUAUCAGGAAGAACACCAAUGGCGAAAGCAGCUCUCUGGGACGGUACUGACGCUGAGACGCGAAAGCGUGGGGAGCGAACAGG
RNAcentral lists this ribosomal RNA (253 nucleotides) under uncultured bacterium. RNAcentral describes it as "partial 16S ribosomal RNA". It matches the Rfam family "Bacterial small subunit ribosomal RNA", at positions 524 to 776 of the family's 1533-position model. The record is from RNAcentral.